GAUGAACGCUAGCGGCAGGCCUAACACAUGCAAGUCGAGGGGUAACAUAGAAAAGCUUGCUUUUCUGAUGACGACCGGCGCACGGGUGCGUAACGCGUAUACAACCUACCUUUUAGCGGGGAAUAGCCCAGGGAAACUUGGAUUAAUGCCUCAUAGUAUAUAGACUUCUCCUGAAGUGUAUAUUAAACAUUUAUGGCUAUUAGAUGGGUAUGCGUCCUAUUAGUUAGUUGGUAAGGUAACGGCUUACCAAGGCAGCGAUAGGUAGGGGUCCUGAGAGGGAGAUCCCCACACUGGUACUGAGACACGGACCAGACUUCUACGGGAGGCAGCAGUGAGGAAUAUUGGACAAUGGGCGAGAGCCUGAUCCAGCCAUGCCGCGUGCAGGAAGACUGCCCUAUGGGUUGUAAACUGCUUUUACAGAGGAAGAACCACCCCCACGUGUGGGGGUUUGACGGUACUCUGCGAAUAAGGAUCGGCUAACUCCGUG
This 487-nucleotide ribosomal RNA is filed under the name uncultured bacterium. Its description in RNAcentral is "bacterial SSU rRNA". It matches the Rfam family "Bacterial small subunit ribosomal RNA", at positions 28 to 507 of the family's 1533-position model. The record is from RNAcentral.